Molecule: ribosomal RNA, 368 nt
Filed under: uncultured Glomeromycotina
Lineage: Eukaryota; Fungi; Glomeromycota
Description: SSU rRNA
Rfam family: Eukaryotic small subunit ribosomal RNA
Source: RNAcentral
AGCAGCCGCGGUAAUUCCAGCUCCAAUAGCGUAUAUUAAAGUUGUUGCAGUUAAAAAGCUCGUAGUUGAAUUUCGGGAUCAGUAGGUUGGUCAUGCCUCCGGUAUGUACUGGUCUCACUGGUUCCUCCUUCCUGAUGAACCGUAAUGCCAUUAAUUUGGUGUUGCGGGGAGACUGGACUGUUACUUUAGAAAAAUUAGAGUGUUUAAAGCAGGCUUACGCUUGAAUACAUUAGCAUGGAAUAAUGAAAUAGGACGUUCGAUCCUAUUUUGUUGGUUUCUAGGAUUGACGUAAUGAUUAAUAGGGAUAGUUGGGGCAUUAGUAUUCAAUUGUCAGAGGUGAAACUCUUGGAUUUAUUGAAGACUAACUA